RNAcentral lists this long non-coding RNA (699 nucleotides) under Homo sapiens (human). RNAcentral's name for it is "HSALNT0366941". The record is from RNAcentral. Lineage: Eukaryota; Metazoa; Chordata; Mammalia; Primates; Hominidae.
CCGGUCCCCUUCCACAGUGUGGAAGGUUUGUUCUUUCGCUCUUUGCAAUAAAUCUUGCUGCUGCUCACUCCUUGGGUCCACACUGCUUUUAUGAGCUGUAACACUCACUGGGAAAGUCUGCAGCUUCACUCCUGAAGCCAGCGAGACCACGAGCCCACCGGGAGAAACGAACAACUCCAGACGCGCCGCCUUAAGAGCUGUAACACUCACCGCGAAGGUCUGCAGCUUCACUCCUGAGCCAGCGAGACCACGAACCCACCACAAGGAAGAAACUCUGAACACAUCCGAACAUCAGGAGGAACAAACUCCAGACGCGCCACCUUAAGAGCUGUGACACUCACCUUGAGGGCCCACGGCUUCAUUCUUGACAUCAGUGAGACCAAGAACCCACCAAUUCCAGACACAAUGGGGCUUCCUCUCCACUGACUUCUGCAACAUGGCCCAUGUCACUGAGCUGGCAACCAAGAGGGAGGAGAAAAGAGAAAGGAACCCUCCCAUUCAUCCUUCCGUAUCACUACUCAGAACCAAGUACCUCUGCUUCUAAACUACAUCAGGGAGUGCAACUCCCAUGGAAUCACAGGACAAGAAGAAAUGGGAACAGAUAUUUAAGAAUUUGAAUUCUGUGAUGAACUCAGGAAUGUUGCAUCUUGAAUCAGAAACACCUUUGUUAUUGCAUUGUUUAUGAGCUAGAUAAAAAAG